GUUGUCGUUUGUUUAUGUGUUACAUAUUUGUUUUUCGUUCAUUUUUUGACAUAAAUAAGGCCGUUAGUUUUCUCGUUUGAAUUGUUUUACAUUAUCUUAUCGGGGCCUAUUAUAGCUGACUAUGCGGUAUGGGCUUUGCUCAUUGUUGAAGGCCGUACGGUAACCUAUAGUUGUUAAUGUCUGUGUCAUUUUGGUCUUUUGUGGAUAGUUGUCUCAUUGGCAAUCA
RNAcentral lists this long non-coding RNA (226 nucleotides) under Mytilus galloprovincialis (Mediterranean mussel). The record is from RNAcentral. Lineage: Eukaryota; Metazoa; Mollusca; Bivalvia; Mytilida; Mytilidae.